This is an RNA transcript of Schistocerca gregaria, 5520 nucleotides long. RefSeq lists it as uncharacterized. NCBI's taxonomy places the organism in Eukaryota, Metazoa, Arthropoda, Insecta, Orthoptera, Acrididae. The record is from RefSeq and is a predicted model, not a curated record. The transcript has 3 exons.
AUAAAAAUUAUGGAAUAACAGUGCACUAUUUAGAUGAAACUCCUAAAUUAUGCAGGGUGUUACUUGAUUGUUUUGCGUUCAAUGAAAAUCACACUGCCGAAAAUAUCUCCCACGAAAUAAGGGUUUGUCAAGAGUGGGAAAUUGACAAUAACAUUGCCGCAAUUGUGACUGACAAUGCCGCUAAUAUGAUUUCAGCUGCGAGAUAUUUGCAUUUGCAAAGUGUUCCAUGUUUCGCUCACACCCUAAAUCUGGUUGUGCAAACUGAAAUAGCUAAAAUGAAAGAGCUGCAAACAAAAGUAAAAACAACAGUGGAAUAUUUUAAACGAAGUUCCCAUGCACUUUCAAAAUUAAAGGAAGUACAAAACCAAAUGGGUCGUCCAGAGCAGACUGUAAAACAAGACGUUCAAAUAAGUCGGAAUUCAACCCUGGCAAUGUUUGAAAGUGUAGUUAAGAGCAGGGUUGCUAUUGUUGUAACUUUAUCAAUAAUGAAUCCUGCAAUAGUAAUUACUAAUGAAGACUUUGAAAUACUCGAGUAAAUGUGCCAAAUUUUGAAGCCAUUUUUACAUAUCACUGAGAAUGCAAGAGUUUCUGUCAACAAAUUCGUACAACAAAGCAAAACAGUCUGUUAUACAAAAAGCUGCAGUAUUAAGAACAUCCAGCAUUGAUGAGGCAAAGCAGCCUGAAGAACAGGAACAAUCAGCAGACAUGGAAGAAGAUUGAUUUUAGGAAGGUUUUGACUCCAGUGUUCAACGGUCUUCGAGACAAACUAUUACACCCAUGACGUCUACAAUAAUACAAUUCGACAAGUAUAUCGAAAUUCAGCCUUCAGGAAGAAAAGCAGACCCUUUUAGAUGGUGGAGUGGACAUAUACUACACGAGACUGUACCAGCUCAUGUUAAGAAGUUUGUGUGUGGUGGGAAGCUUAGUUCCUUGUGAGCGUGUUUUUUCAAGGGCUGCAAAUACUCUCACAGACUAACGUCGUUAGGUUAGGUUAGGUUAGGUUAAUUGAGCCUAAACCUACGCCAUCUAGAAACAAGGCCACACAUCGUGAGUCUAAGGAGCCUGUGACAUCACGAGUAGGGGUCUGAGAAGCAGGUACCAACACACGUGAUUCGAAGCGUUUCCGUAUGGUACUUUGUGCUGAUCUUGAGUGGUUAUUUGGUCUAUACUCAGUUACAAUGCUCCGAAGGUGGUGUAUGCCUGCCGAUUCCAAGGACAAUUACAAUAAUGGAACUAAAGUCAGUUAUAAUGUACAAAUAUAUUAUCUUUAACUUGAGCACUGUUGCUCUAAACCAUUUCAUAACUAUUUACUCCAAGUAAUGUAAAUUUUUUUUACUUCUGAUGAAGGCUGCCUUAGAGCAGUUGAAACCUAGGUAAAGUUGAAAAUUUUUCACCUGUGCAGCCGAAGAGCUGUAUUUUCAAGUAAUAAUAUAAAUUUCGUCUACAGUUGCUGCAUUAUCGGCCAUGUUCAAAAUUGUGAAGUCAGUGUAUUUUAUUUUCCAUCUGACGAGAAGAAUUUAAGACGAAAAUGGUUAUCGGCUGUUCACAGAAAAGACUGGGCACCGAGUAAGCACUCUGUUAUAUGUGAACUGCAUUUUAACAAGGACGAUAUUUUAAGCAGUACCAGCACGUAUGACCCGAAAACUGAUACACUCUUGACAGCACCGUUGGAUUGUAAGAUGCUAUCCCACCGAAGUCCUCCUCAGGGGACACCGCCUUAACGUAGCACUGUCCGUGCGGGCGAGGAGGUUUGCGUGCUCCGGAUCCGGAGGGCUAUGCCGGCGGUAGCAUAGCUACCAGCAGGGUCACCCAUGCCGGACAGGCCAAAGGGGAGGGGCCAGACAAAGUGUGUCCCACAACGAUCUAUCGCUCCCCUUUCCUAUCCCAAACCUGUCCUCACCAUUUCCUUUUCCUGUCAUUCCCUGGUACAUGUACAAAAGAGCAGAAAGACCUCUAUAGGUGUGGAGAAGCCAAUCUUUCUACGGGAGAAAACCCCGAGUGAAAAAUCCUGGUCCUCCAGGUUGGGAGUUGGCGACGGGCUACCAACCCGAUCUGGAAAAAAUAAUCACUGGUACUAGCAUCACAGAAGAGCCUCGGAUAGUACUGAUCUCUGCAAAACAACCUAAGCAAGAACAAGGACUACGGAAGGAAAUACAACUAGGGACCUGGAAUGUCAGAAGCCUAUACCAACCUGGGGUAGUAAAAUGUGUAGUAAGGGAGGCAGAUAAGUAUCAAAUUGAUCUAUUGGCCCUGCAAGAAACAAGGUGGACAGAAACCAGAGCUACAGAAAUGGAAAACUACGUCAUAUUCCAUGGAGCCUCAGAAACAAACCACUCACUAGGAACUGGUUUUGCAGUGAAGAAAUCACUCUGUACCACUCUCCUAGAUUUUAAAUCAAUCAACCCCAGAAUCUCACUCCUAACCAUAGACACGGGAAAACACAAACUCACUCUCUAGACCCUAUAUUAAAAUGUAGAGGUGUCUCUCAACAACUAAAGCUACGGUUGUAUAAGACAUUAAUAAUGCCAGUAGUACUUUAUGGUUCUCAAACCUGGAGCACUCGAAAACAAGACCUUAAGCGACUGCUAACAUUUGAAAGGAAAGUCAUCAGGAAAAUAUUUGAACCAGUCAGAGAUCAGACUACUGGAGAAUGGAGAAGACGCCAUAACACUGAAUUAGAAGAGCUGUACAAGGAGCCUAACAUCUUGGGAGUGAUGAGAAGCAAAAUACUGCAAUGGGCUGGACAUGUUAGAAUGGAGGCAACAGGAUGGCCCAAAAUCACAAUGGACUGGAUCCCGUCAGGCAGCAGACCAGUGGGAAGACCUAGAAAGAGGUGGAUCAAUGGAAUGAGAGAAGACCUGUUGCAGCUGGGAGUCAUGGAAAACUGGAGACAGAUAGCAGAAGACAGAGACGGGUGGAGAGCUCUAACUGUGGUGGCGCGCGGUCGUCUGGGUCUGAUCGCGAGAAUUGAAUUGAACCCCAUCUAAUCUGGAUGCCCAUCUUACUUGUCGAGUCAUCAAACUGCAGUACGAGAGAACCUAAAAAUUCGUAGGGGACGUUUAGAAAAUCGUGCUCUUCAAAAUGCUAACCAAGAAAGUGUAGAUACACAUGCGAAAGUGAUUGAUGCGAUAUCGUUCGAUAGCUUAGAACAACUGAAAACAAAGCUGAGUGAAUGUAAGCAGCAUAACGACUGGGUAGUGAUAAAUCUGACAGUGUGAGCCUAGUGUUACUAAAGCAUAAUCCUUACCAAAGAAUUUUUUGCACAUAGUUAUAAACAGUGGUUUAUUACUUAGGGUCUUCACUAAUGAUAUUGAAGCGAAAUGUAUUGGCGAAAUUUCCCAUGAAAGUAAACAACAUACAGGUGGUAAGUGAUGUUCUUAAGGCAUUUAUCUUCUGUACAAUAGUUCUGAGGCUCCUGUAGCUAACAUUUUGCCUUUAAUUGACCAGUUAUUGCAAAAUUUAUUAGAAAAGUUGAAACGAAACUAAAUUUACAUUUUUUGAAGGAACAGAUUCCAUUUUUGAAGUGCAGAAGUUCAACUCAAUUUAGGUAUGAUACGAACUCUAUGAUAAUGUGGUCAUUAGUACACUCUAUUAGCCCACAUGCUUAUAAAUUUUUGAGGAACACUGAUAGUUUUUCUAUGCCUAGUCCUAACAUCCUUUAAAGGCUUUGUAGUAAACUCUCAACAAAUCCUGUCACUGAGCAACAGGGUGAUCAAUUUAUGAGCUACAUCACAAAUAAAGUAGGUACUUUAUCCUCAGAUGAUAUAACUGUGCUCCUGUUGAUGGACGAAAUUCAUCUGAAGUCUCAGAUUGGUUACAAAGUUGGAAAUGUUGUAGGAUGUGCCUUUAACACUGAUAAAUUUUUGUGUGUAACCAGUGCCUAUGUUUUUGUGGUUCAGAGCAUGGAAUCACUUUAAAGGAUGUGGUAUCUAUUCUGCCAGUUCGUACUAUUCAGGGUGAUUUUCUGUUCUCUUAAUUAGUCAUUCUUAAAUUAGAAGCAAUUGGAUUUGGGGUGGUUGGUAAAGUAGCAGACAAAAAUGCAAUUAAUAAGAAAGCAGUGUCUUAAGUUUUCUACGCUACCGGAUGUGAAAAUAAGUAUGAUCACCCUGUACAGUCUUCUCCAAAUCGCCCAUUGUAUUAUGGACACUGUCCAUAUUUUGAAGUGUAUCCGCAAUAACUGGUUUAACCAAACAAUUUGAAGGGAGGUUUGUCAUCUUUUGGAGCACUGUAAGAAUUGCACUCGAUAGAAAAAGAUGAACUACUGCAAUAUGGCAGUUCCUUAACUUUGAAGUCUCUAUUUCCUAACUCAAUUGCUUAAUUGAGCGCCAAAAUGUCAAGUUAGUGUUGCGUAUUUUCAAUGAUGUGACAGUUGUUGCUUUGGACACAUUUGGUUCAAAGAAAGCAAUUAACAACUGGGAAAGUACUGCAACAUUCGUAAAAAUAAUAAAUCAUUGGUGGGAUAUUGUAAAUGUAAAAACAUUACUCAAGGGGCACAGGUUAAGACAUACUUUCCAAGAACCUGUGACUACUAAUUCCCAUCACAUACAAGAAUUCUUACAGUGCUUCAUCUCAUGGUUAUGUUCUUGGGAAGAUUCUAGCGAUGAAAGAAAACUUACUCGAGAGACACAUAGCGCUUUGAAACACACAACUGCUGCUUUGAUCGACUUCAGUGACUACUGGCUUUCUGAGAAAAACAGAUCAAAUUUGCUGUUAGGAAAAGUACAGACAGUUCCGACGACAGGUUCAGUAAACACCGCCAGCUAUGUGGGGGAAAUUAUCAUGUUUCUCUAAGACAAGUUUUUGAAACUGAACAAAACCUAAGGGCACAGUCUAUGUUUUCCCUUGUGCUUCGGUCAAAAGUAGUUGGGGAUGUUGUUAUUAAGACCACUGAUAUUUUUUCUACUCAUACUGAAAUUCGGGGAUUAAAAGAAACAUCAAUACCAGAAUUUUUAAAUGUAGCAGUAGACGAAAACGAUGAUGGAAUAGAUGAGAAUACUUGGCCACCGUUGCAUUACAUAGCAGAUUACUGCUCACACCAAGCUACUUAAAAAGAAGUGGAUAUUUUAAGGUAUUCUUUACAACAGAUGGAAUGAAGCAUGGUGGUGAUUUGAUUAUGGUAAAAGACAGAGGAGAGUUGACAUAUCCUGCAGAUGAUGUAGUAGUGUGUGUGACAUAUGCCGAACUCUACAGAAAAUUCUGAAAGAUCAGGAAAUUUUAUUUUUAGAACAGGCAAAUCAGAGAAAUGUACUUGUGAAGGGAGCAUCCCACAACAUUCCCAGCAAUAUUUUUUAUGGGUUUCACUGUAAAAAUACACACUCACUUGAUUCAGUCAUGAAUUGCUUACCAAUUUGCUGUGCAAAUAUUUUGCUAAACAAUUUCACCAAAAGGAGAAAUGAUGAAACUACUGUUAAAAAAAUAACUGUGUGCAAAAGAUUGAAAAAAUGUUAAAUUAUACUUUGGUUGUACAUUUUCACUGUUUGGGGCUUGGGAAGAUGAUAUGAAAUAAAUGUUUAUUUCGAA